RNAcentral lists this small RNA (137 nucleotides) under Staphylococcus aureus. Its description in RNAcentral is "Transcript". The record is from RNAcentral. Lineage: Bacteria; Bacillati; Bacillota; Bacilli; Caryophanales; Staphylococcaceae.
AAGAUUCUCACAAUUAGUAAUGUGAAAAUCUUGGUUUAUAUUGUUCUACUAUAAAUUGUCUCGCAUCUUAGUUAUUUGCUUGCUCAAUUUCAUCUGUUAAUUUUUCAACUUCAUCGACUAAAUCAGAAAUAUAUUGA